AGCCAUAGGUUCUGGAGUCAGCCAUUAGCCAAGCCUGACUACUGCAUAUCUCUACCUAACUGCUGCCUCAUCUAUCAUUUGAGGAGAAUGACAUCUACCCCCGGGGAUGUUGGGAAAGCAAAGACAUACUCUGAUAAAGCAGCUGCAGUUCUUAUAAAAUCCAUUGGAAUAAAAGACACACUCAGAUCUGAACAAGACACUGGUUGUCUAUCUGGUUCAGCCACAAAACUGGAAAUUAAGUGACUGAAAAGACCUACAUUAGCACCUGUUUUUGCUAACUGAAAGAAAUCCAAGGAGGAUAUUCGCUUUCACGAAAAAAACUGAAAAUAGCGCUCAGCUUUUGUUUUACGAGCUGUUAGAGCCCUUAUAGAGGCAGCACACAUCCCCAGCUGCGAGAGUGGAGCCUCCACGCUCCUUCCCUGGAAAUUGCACUCAGUGUCUCAGCAUCAAGCCGCCAGAGCCUUGAACUGUGUCUGUGAGCAUCUGUGCUUUAUCUCCACUUAUUUCAGUGGAUUAUUUUUUGGCUCUGGGGACAAAAAAAUUUUUCCCAUGAAGAAAGAAGAAAAUAAGAUGAUAAUCAUUGUUCAGAGAUUGUGAUGAGCCAGGCCAAAGAGAAAGUUUUCUCCAAAGGAAGAGAUCUCUUCUUGACUUAGCCUGGUGCCCUGAGGAUAAGCACGUGCUUUGUAUUGUGCUCACCACAAUUCAAAACCUGUUUAUGUUUCACACUCCUCAUCUCCACCAGGAUGAUAUUUAGACUGCACGAUGCUGCCAGAAGGCCUGUUGACGUAAUUGCCCAUUAUACCUUAAGCAGCUUUCCAAAACUACCUAUGCAUUAGAAAAGAAAUACUACCCAGAAGAAUCAAGUAUAUCUAGGUUCCACACACAUUUUCAUAGUUUCUCCUAGAAGAAAUGGAUUUUUGAAAGCCUGGAGGAUGUUGUGCACAGCAAAUCAAAGAUUGGAAGGAUUGCCUAAAUAGAGUCCCUCUCUUGUGAAUUCUCGCAAUGAGGCAGAUGAAAGACAUGAUGCUGGAGUCUCGUCAAGUGCUUCCAGUGAGAAUGGCGAAGAGCCCGAACAAGACUGCAAAUGGUAAUUCAAAUUUCCUCUCCCCCGUGACCUUCAGAAAAAUGCGCAGUCCCAGGAGUAUGUUAUUACCAAGUGCAGAAGAAGUAACAGUGCCUCUGUUCAGAGGGAGGGAAAAGAUGAGUUUUCAUUGACUACUCUUCAUAAUUUUCUCAAAAAAGAUGAUAAACAAAAUUCAUUAAGAACAUUCUCUGAAUGCUUACAGUGAUAUUUUAUGGAGAAUAAAACCCUUAA
Molecule: long non-coding RNA, 1315 nt
Filed under: Equus asinus (donkey)
Lineage: Eukaryota; Metazoa; Chordata; Mammalia; Perissodactyla; Equidae
Description: lncRNA (ENSEASG00005029074.1)
Source: RNAcentral